UACGAAGGGGGCUAGCGUUGUUCGGAUUUACUGGGCGUAAAGCGUGCGCAGGCGGCUAUGCAAGACAGAUGUGAAAUCCCCGGGCUCAACCUGGGAACUGCAUUUGUGACUGCAUAGCGUAGAGUACGGGUAGAGGGGGAUGGAAAUUCCGCGUGUAGCAGUGAAAUGCGGUAGAUAUGCGGAGGAACACCGAUGGCGAAGGCAAUCCCCCUGGACCUGUACU
This 223-nucleotide ribosomal RNA is filed under the name uncultured bacterium. RNAcentral's name for it is "partial 16S ribosomal RNA". It matches the Rfam family "Bacterial small subunit ribosomal RNA", at positions 524 to 741 of the family's 1533-position model. The record is from RNAcentral.